This 72-nucleotide transfer RNA is filed under the name Dibamus novaeguineae. Its description in RNAcentral is "tRNA-Ile". It matches the Rfam family "tRNA". Rfam says of the family: Transfer RNA (tRNA) molecules are approximately 80 nucleotides in length. The record is from RNAcentral. Lineage: Eukaryota; Metazoa; Chordata; Lepidosauria; Squamata; Dibamidae.
GGAAGCGUGCCCGAGCAUUUAAGGUCUACUUUGAUAGAGUAUAAAACAGAGGUUAAAAUCCUCUCACUUCCU